GCUGUGAUGGCUGAGUGGGCAAAGCGUUAGAUUUGAACUCCAAUGGGGUUUCCCCGCGCAGGUUCAAAUCCUGCUCACAGUG
Non-coding RNA from Xiphophorus hellerii (green swordtail), 82 nucleotides. Lineage: Eukaryota; Metazoa; Chordata; Actinopteri; Cyprinodontiformes; Poeciliidae. The record is from the annotation of a RefSeq genome assembly.